UGAGGAAUAUUGGACAAUGGGUGGGAGCCUGAUCCAGCCAUUCCGCGUGCAGGAAGAAGGUCUUAUGGAUUGUAAACUGCUUUUAUAUAGGGAUAAACCUACUCUCGAGAGGGUAGCUGAAGGUACUAUAUGAAUAAGCACCGGCUAACUCCGUGCCAGCAGCCGCGGUAAUACGGAGGGUGCAAGCGUUAUCCGGACUUAUUGGGUUUAAAGGGUCCGUAGGCGGGUUAUUAAGUCAGUGGUGAAAUCUCAUAGCUCAACUAUGAAACUGCCAUUGAUACUGAUAGUCUUGAGUAUAUUUGAAGUAGCUGGAAUAAGUAGUGUAGCGGUGAAAUGCAUAGAUAUUACUUAGAACACCAAUAGCGAAGGCAGGUUACUAAGAUAUUACUGACGCUGAGGGACGAGAGCGUAGGGAGCGAACAGG
RNAcentral lists this ribosomal RNA (424 nucleotides) under bacterium. RNAcentral's name for it is "partial 16S ribosomal RNA". It matches the Rfam family "Bacterial small subunit ribosomal RNA", at positions 355 to 776 of the family's 1533-position model. The record is from RNAcentral.